UUUNAUCAAAGCAAGGCACUGAAAAUGCCUAGAUGAGUCAUGAGACUCCAUAAACA
RNAcentral lists this transfer RNA (56 nucleotides) under Odobenus rosmarus rosmarus (Atlantic walrus). RNAcentral's name for it is "partial tRNA-Phe". The record is from RNAcentral. Lineage: Eukaryota; Metazoa; Chordata; Mammalia; Carnivora; Odobenidae.